GGUAACGAUAGCAAGAGGGACACACCUGUACCCAUGCCGAACACAGAAGUUAAGCCUCUUAACGCCGAUGGUACUUGGUUGGUAACGACCUGGGAGAGUAGG
This 102-nucleotide ribosomal RNA is filed under the name Aedoeadaptatus coxii. The record is from RNAcentral. Lineage: Bacteria; Bacillati; Bacillota; Tissierellia; Tissierellales; Peptoniphilaceae.